Molecule: ribosomal RNA, 1014 nt
Organism: Enterocytozoon bieneusi H348
Lineage: Eukaryota; Fungi; Microsporidia; Enterocytozoonidae
Rfam family: Eukaryotic large subunit ribosomal RNA
Source: Rfam
UCACUCUUGACGGAAGUGGGUAUAGGGGCGAAAGACCAAUCGAACUGCCUGGUAGCUGGUUCCGGCCGAAAUGUCUCUCAGGACAGCGGUGUCUGCGAAUAGGAAGAUGCGGUAGAGAGGAUGUCGACCUUGUCAACAAACUCCGAAUGCGUCAUUGUGUUGCGAUUGCAUCCAACAUGAUCAUCUAUAAGACACUAGUGGGCGCCUUGUGGUAAGCAUGCGGCGCAAAAAGGGAUGAACCUAGCAGUGGGGUAAGGUGCCUAAAGGAAAACAAAGAGAAAAAGCGUUUGGCAGAUUAGGACAGUGGGGCGGUGGCCAUGGAGGUCGGCAUCCGCUAAGAAACGUGUUACAACGUACCCACCGAAUCUGCGAAUGCUGAAAAUGGAUGGCGCUUAUUUCCAUACCGAGCCCCACAUGGUACAGCCACGUAGGCCGGCACGUGUGCAUCUGAGAAGACCCGCCGUGAGGUGUGUUGGAGAUGUUCACGGAGCAGAUCUUGGAAGUAGUAGCAUCAUUUGUAUGUGCCAAUGGAGGCGGGUUUGUCCUUUUAAUAGAAGGAAGUGAUACGAGCCUAGUAAAAGGGAAUAUAGUAGAUAUUCUAUAUAGAUGUACCUAUGUGGCGACACGACAGCGACCCCAACGACGUGUGCCGGUGAGAAUUUUCCGGGACACCCAGAUCUUAUGAGCGUCACGCUGAGACUAAGAACGAGUUGGGCGGUGAAAAUGAAGGAACAUCCUCGUACCGAACCGCAACAGGACUCCUAGGUGAGAAGCCUAAGGCAUAAUUGUAAUGUGAGCAAGGGAAAUCGGCUAAAUGGAUGAAAAACCUCGGGAUAAUCAUUGGCUCUAGCAUGCUAGAACUGGGCUUACAGGGGGAUCUGACUGUUUAAUAAAAACAUAGCUUUGUGUGUACGCAAAGUGAAUUCUGCCAGUGCUUGGGACGUUAAGGAAUUAAUUUUAAGUACGCCCUGGUAACCGGGGGGGUAACUAUGACUCUCUUAGGGUACCCAAUGC